Long non-coding RNA from Brachypodium distachyon (stiff brome), 569 nucleotides. RefSeq lists it as uncharacterized. NCBI's taxonomy places the organism in Eukaryota, Viridiplantae, Streptophyta, Magnoliopsida, Poales, Poaceae. The record is from RefSeq and is a predicted model, not a curated record. The transcript has 2 exons.
GAGAGCCUUUCUUUUCCCAACCCCAGCCGCCAACGCCUUAGGGUUAGUUCGCCGCUGCCGCCGUCACGAGCUCGCCUCUGCUGCUGUCUGGUGACUGCCCUGCUGCUGGUACCGCCGUGGUUGCAGUCCUCGCUGCUCGCCGUCGUUGCAGUCCUCGCUGCUCGCCGUCGCUGCUGCUAGGUCCAGGAGUUUCGGGUGUGAGGCAUAAAUCUGCGGAUUAAUUGUCCGUCCUAUUUCGGGAUUAAGGCAAGUACAUGACGAGCCCCCUGUGAAAUUGUUUGCCAACGUUGUUUGGUUAUCCGAGUUGAUAUUUGAAUUCCUUGGGGUUUGUGCUAUCGGAAGGUUUUGUUUUAAGUCAGGGCGGUGAGUAAGUUACAGGUAACUAUUCCGGUGCGGUCGGUGAGUUAAGUUAUUAUGUAACUAUUCCGGUGAGCUGGAGCUAGGUCGGUGAGUAAUUCACAUGUUUAACUAUACCGGUGCGGACGGUGAGAAAGUUAACGGUGAAUAUUCCGGAAUGCUCCAAUCAAAAAAAGUACAAAGUUUAUAAAGAGUUUCAUGGCUUUAUUUUG